CCUAAAAAACUUCAGAACUAGUUCCUGGUUUCGCCAUGGCCACUCAUAUAUUCCAGCAUAUGGUACCAACCUAUCACCUUUUAAAAAUAUCUUAUGAAUAAAUGUAAUCUUUUAUUUUCUGAUACAGUAUCUUGUUUUUUUAAACGACUAAUCAUAAAAAUGGACGAGCAUUUGUGGAUUAAGACAGAAAGAAACCAUAUGCACAAUAUGCACAACCACAGCAACCUCAUCACAUCCAUA
Gambusia affinis (western mosquitofish) is the source of this 240-nucleotide long non-coding RNA. RefSeq lists it as uncharacterized. NCBI's taxonomy places the organism in Eukaryota, Metazoa, Chordata, Actinopteri, Cyprinodontiformes, Poeciliidae. The transcript has 3 exons. The record is from RefSeq and is a predicted model, not a curated record.